Molecule: ribosomal RNA, 250 nt
Filed under: uncultured prokaryote
Description: partial 16S rRNA
Rfam family: Bacterial small subunit ribosomal RNA
Source: RNAcentral
ACGUAGGGGGCAAGCGUUAUCCGGAAUUACUGGGCGUAAAGGGUGCGUAGGCGGUUUAUUAAGUGAGGGGUGAAAGGCAAUAGCUUAACUGUUGUAAGCCUUGCGAACUGGAGGACUUGAGUGCAGGAGAGGAAAGUGGAAUUCCUAGUGUAGCGGUGAAAUGCGUAGAUAUUAGGAGGAACACCAGUGGCGAAGGCGACUUUCUGGACUAUAACUGACACUGAGGCACGAAAGCGUGGGGAGCAAACAG